This 338-nucleotide ribosomal RNA is filed under the name uncultured bacterium. RNAcentral's name for it is "bacterial SSU rRNA". It matches the Rfam family "Bacterial small subunit ribosomal RNA", at positions 547 to 887 of the family's 1533-position model. The record is from RNAcentral.
GACUCACUAUAGGGCGAAUUGGGUACCGGGCCCCCCCUCGAGGUCGACGGUAUCGAUAAGCUUGAUAUCGAAUUCCUGCAGCCCGGGGGAUCCGCCCAGUCAGCGAGGGGAUGGUGGAAUUCCUGGUGUAGCAGUGAAAUGCGUAGAUAUCCGGAGGAAGGCCGGUGGCGAAGGCGGCCAUCUGGCGCUGAACUGACGCUGAGGCGCGAAAGCGUGGGUAGCAAACAGGAUUAGAUACCCUGGUAGUCCACGCCCUAAACGGUGGGCAUUAGGUGUAGGGCUCGUAAGGGUUCUGUGCCGUAGGGAAACCAUUAAAUGCCCGCCUGGGGAGUACGGCU